This 175-nucleotide ribosomal RNA is filed under the name uncultured Bacteroidota bacterium. RNAcentral's name for it is "uncultured Bacteroidetes bacterium partial 16S ribosomal RNA". It matches the Rfam family "Bacterial small subunit ribosomal RNA", at positions 335 to 504 of the family's 1533-position model. The record is from RNAcentral. Lineage: Bacteria; Pseudomonadati; Bacteroidota.
ACUCCUACGGGAGGCAGCAGUGAGGAAUAUUGGACAAUGGNCGGGAGCCUGAUCCANCCAUGCCAGCGUGCAGUGAUAACGGCCCUAUGGGUUGUAAACUGCUUUUAGACGGGAAGAAACGCGCCCACAGUGUGGGCGUUUGACGGUACCGUAAGAAUAAGGACCGGCUAACUCC